UCUCUCUCUCUCUCUCUCUCUCCAUCUCGAACUCUAUCCUUGCCUCUUCUCCCUGCAGCCUAGACUGUGAAUCCCUUCUGGUCUCCCUUUCUCCGAUUGCAAGCCCAGUCCCCUUUGUAGCAGCUUUAGAGCGUAAAUUGUCAUGAAAAGCUUAAUGAAUCUCCAUUAUUUAUGAGAUAGGAUUAGUUGAUCGCCCAAUAUGAUGUAAGCUUGUGCCAUAUAAUUUCUUGCUUGCCGAACCUCUGAAAUUCUUUUUGAAGACGAUAUGAGAUCAGUUUAAAAUAAGUUUUUAUGUAAAAUAUAAGGGAUACUUUGACUAUUCAUAAAUAUUAGUAAUAAUUUAAAUGUGUCAAAAUUAUAUUAAUUCACACCAUAUUAUUUGUUAUUAUCUAAAUGAGAUACUUUUCUCAUUCAUUUAUUCAGGAUCAAAGUUCUGAGUGGUGGAUGUUGUGUCAUUAGUUAACAAACCUCUUUGUCACAUAGAGCUCCCUUUUUGUCCCCCAACAAGU
RNAcentral lists this long non-coding RNA (509 nucleotides) under Spirodela polyrhiza (greater duckweed). RNAcentral's name for it is "long non-coding RNA (SPOL_LNC002446)". Lineage: Eukaryota; Viridiplantae; Streptophyta; Magnoliopsida; Alismatales; Araceae. The record is from RNAcentral.